CCUACGGGUGGCAGCAGUGAGGAAUAUUGGUCAAUGGACGAGAGUCUGAACCAGCCAAGUAGCGUGAAGGAUGACUGCCCUAUGGGUUGUAAACUUCUUUUAUAUGGGAAUAAAAUGUUCCACGUGUGUGAUUUUGUCUGUACCAUAUGAAUAAGGAUCGGCUAACUCCGUGCCAGCAGCCGCGGUAAUACGGAGGAUCCGAGCGUUAUCCGGAUUUAUUGGGUUUAAAGGGAGCGUAGGUGGAUUGUGAAGUCUGUUGUGAAAGUUUGCGGCUCAACCGUAAAAUUGCAGUUGAAACUGGCAGUCUGGAGUACAGUAGAGGUGGGCGGAAUUCGUGGUGUAGCGGUGAAAUGCUUAGAUAUCACGAAGAACUCCGAUGGCGAAGGCAGCUCACUGGACUGCAACUGACACUGAGGCUCGAAAGUGUGGGUAUCAAACAGGAUUAGAUACCCCAGUAGUC
Molecule: ribosomal RNA, 460 nt
Filed under: uncultured bacterium
Lineage: Bacteria
Description: partial 16S ribosomal RNA
Rfam family: Bacterial small subunit ribosomal RNA
Source: RNAcentral